AGAGUUUGAUCCUGGCUCAGGAUGAACGCUAGCUACAGGCUUAACACAUGCAAGUCGAGGGGCAGCGGGAUUGAAGCUUGCUUCAAUUGCCGGCGACCGGCGCACGGGUGAGUAACGCGUAUCCAACCUUCCGUACACUCAGGGAUAGCCUUUCGAAAGAAAGAUUAAUACCUGAUGGUAUGAUGAAAUUGCAUGAUAGCAUCAUUAAAGAUUUAUCGGUGUACGAUGGGGAUGCGUUCCAUUAGGUAGUAGGCGGGGUAACGGCCACCUAGCCUACGAUGGAUAGGGGUUCUGAGAGGAAGGUCCCCCANAUUGGAACUGAGACACGGUCAAACUCUACGGGAGCA
This 347-nucleotide ribosomal RNA is filed under the name uncultured bacterium. RNAcentral describes it as "bacterial SSU rRNA". It matches the Rfam family "Bacterial small subunit ribosomal RNA", at positions 8 to 350 of the family's 1533-position model. The record is from RNAcentral.